RNAcentral lists this ribosomal RNA (192 nucleotides) under Salmonella enterica. RNAcentral describes it as "partial 23S ribosomal RNA". It matches the Rfam family "Bacterial large subunit ribosomal RNA", at positions 2751 to 2925 of the family's 2925-position model. Lineage: Bacteria; Pseudomonadati; Pseudomonadota; Gammaproteobacteria; Enterobacterales; Enterobacteriaceae. The record is from RNAcentral. RNAcentral also lists the same sequence under 1 other name.
AAAUGCGGAAGAGAUAAGUGCUGAAAGCAUCUAAGCACGAAACUUGCCCCGAGAUGAGUUCUCCCUGAGACUUAAAGUCUCCUGAAGGAACGUUGAAGACGACGACGUUGAUAGGCCGGGUGUGUAAGCGCAGCGAUGCGUUGAGCUAACCGGUACUAAUGAACCGUGAGGCUUAACCUUACAACGCCGAAG